GCAGAUUUCUUGUCUCUAUCGGUCUCUUGCACGCCACCUGGUGGUGUUAUUGUAAUCGCAGCUAAUUUGACCAAAGAUUAGUUGGACAAGUUGGUUCAGCUUGUGAAUUUGGAACUCAGGAUAACACACACCGGAGGUGGUGUGCCGGAAGAGCUGUUAAAGCAGAUGUUUGGAAACAGUGUGGAUACAACUGAAGAAGGAAUAAGAUUUGUGGUUAGCAUAAAUCUAUUAAAGCUCAUGAGUGGAGAUGUGCAAUAUCUGAGGGAAGCCACAAAGUCUGCAUUCAUAAUUUCUGUUGAACUUGCCUCUCCUGGUACAAAAAAGCCUUGAACAGGCUUUUAUUUUGUUGUUGUUUCAAGAAAUCAACUUUUACAUGCUUGAGUGUGUCUUGUGUUAAUGUGCACGUGUAAUAAUUGUUUUGUAGCCUUUUUGGGAAUAAAAUUGUUUUAAGUUAAAAACCAUA
This is a long non-coding RNA of Helianthus annuus (common sunflower), 463 nucleotides long. RefSeq lists it as uncharacterized. The record is from RefSeq and is a predicted model, not a curated record. The transcript is spliced from 2 exons. NCBI's taxonomy places the organism in Eukaryota, Viridiplantae, Streptophyta, Magnoliopsida, Asterales, Asteraceae.